AUCCAUAGCCAUGCCACCCUGAACAAGCCCAAUCUCACCUGAUCUUGGAAGCUAAGCAGGAUCAGGCCUGGUUAGUACUAGGAUGGCAGACCACCUAGGAAGACCACGUGCUGUAGGUG
This 119-nucleotide ribosomal RNA is filed under the name Pteropus alecto (black flying fox). Lineage: Eukaryota; Metazoa; Chordata; Mammalia; Chiroptera; Pteropodidae. The record is from RNAcentral.